RNAcentral lists this ribosomal RNA (396 nucleotides) under uncultured bacterium. RNAcentral's name for it is "partial 16S ribosomal RNA". It matches the Rfam family "Bacterial small subunit ribosomal RNA", at positions 360 to 774 of the family's 1533-position model. The record is from RNAcentral.
AAUAUUGCACAAUGGAUGAAACUCUGAUGCAGCGACGCCGCGUGAGUGAAGAAGGUCUUCGGUUCGUAAAACUCUGUCUUUGGCGAAGAUAAUGACGGUAGCCCAGGAGGAAGCCCCGGCUAACUACCUUCCAGCAGCCGCGGUAAUACGUAGGGGGCUAGCGGUGUCCGGACUUACUGGGCGUAAAGGGUGAGUAGGCGGUUGCAUAAGUCAGAUGUAAAAGGCUAAGGCUUAACCAUAGUAUGCAUUUGAAACUGUGUGACUUGAGUACAGGAGAGGUAAGCGGAAUUCCUAGUGUAGCGGUGAAAUGCGUAGAUAUUAGGAGGAACACCAGUGGCGAAGGCGACUUACUGGACUGUAACUGACGCUGAGUCACGAAAGCGUGGGUAGCAAACA